This 583-nucleotide ribosomal RNA is filed under the name uncultured bacterium. Its description in RNAcentral is "bacterial SSU rRNA". It matches the Rfam family "Bacterial small subunit ribosomal RNA", at positions 338 to 915 of the family's 1533-position model. The record is from RNAcentral.
CCUACGGGAGGCAGCAGUGGGGAAUAUUGGACAAUGGGCGCAAGCCUGAUCCAGCCAUGCCGCGUGUGUGAAGAAGGCCUUCGGGUUGUAAAGCACUUUUAUCCGGAAAGAAAAGCUUUGGGUUAAUACCCUGAAGUCAUGACGGUACCGGAAGAAUAAGCACCGGCUAACUUCGUGCCAGCAGCCGCGGUAAUACGAAGGGUGCAAGCGUUACUCGGAAUUACUGGGCGUAAAGCGUGCGUAGGUGGUUUGUUAAGUCUGAUGUGAAAGCCCUAGGCUCAACCUGGGAAUUGCAUUGGAUACUGGCAGGCUAGAGUGCGGUAGAGGAUAGUGGAAUUCCCGGUGUAGCAGUGAAAUGCGUAGAGAUCGGGAGGAACAUCUGUGGCGAAGGCGACUAUCUGGGCCAGCACUGACACUGAGGCACGAAAGCGUGGGGAGCAAACAGGAUUAGAUACCCUGGUAGUCCACGCCCUAAACGAUGCGAACUGGAUGUUGGGUGCAACUAGGCACUCAGUAUCGAAGCUAACGCGUUAAGUUCGCCGCCUGGGGAGUACGGUCGCAGACUGAACUUAAGGAAUUGACG